RNAcentral lists this unclassified non-coding RNA (770 nucleotides) under Hevea brasiliensis (rubber tree). Lineage: Eukaryota; Viridiplantae; Streptophyta; Magnoliopsida; Malpighiales; Euphorbiaceae. The record is from RNAcentral.
CUAGGACCAAAUGCCUUAGAAAUAUAGGCAAUUGGAUGCCCUUGCUGCUAUAAAACUGCACCCAUUCCCCAAUUGCUUGCAUCAGUUUCCACAAUAAAUGGCUUAGAAAAAUUAGGAAGAGCAAGGACUGGUGCUUCAGACAUCAAUCUCCUCAAAGUAUCAAAUGCUGUUUGGGCUGCCUUAUUCCAAUGAAAAGAAUCUUUCUUCAAUAAUUCAGUAAGAGGCCUGCAGAUAAUGCCAUAGUGCCUUACAAAUUUCCUAUAAUAUCCAGUGAGGCCUAAAAAACUUCUGAGUUCUUUAACAGACGAAGGCACAGGCCAAUCAACCAUGGCAGCCACCUUCUUAGGGUCGGUAGAUACCCCUGCCCCUGAAAUUAUAUGCCCCAAGUAUUCAAUCUCAGUUUGCCCAAAAAAACAUUUAGACUGCUUUGCAAAUAAUUGUUGGGCCUGUAGUACUUUAAAAACUUCCUCCAAAUGCAGCAAAUUAGACUCCAUGUCCUUGCUAAACACCAAAAUGUCAUCAAAAAAUACUAACACAAACUUCCUCAAAAAUGGUUGGAAGAUGUGAUUCAUUAAGGCUUGAAAUGUUGCAGGAGCAUUAGUGAGCCCAAAAAGCAUCACUUUGAAUUCAAAAUGCCCAUGGUGUGUUCUAAAGGCUGUCUUAGGAAUAUCCUCGGGCAACAUCCUAAUUUGGUGAUAUCCAGCCCUCAAAUCUAUCUUAGAAAACACUUUAGCCCCAUUCAAUUCAUCCAACAAGUCAUCAAUAAUGGG